Long non-coding RNA from Ostrinia furnacalis (Asian corn borer), 408 nucleotides. RefSeq lists it as uncharacterized. The record is from RefSeq and is a predicted model, not a curated record. Lineage: Eukaryota; Metazoa; Arthropoda; Insecta; Lepidoptera; Crambidae. The transcript has 2 exons.
CGGAUUCAAAAAUGAAGCACUUGGCGCGGCCCGAUUUCCACCGCGCCCCCAGUAGCUUCAUAAAACACGUCUUAGUUUGUAUUUUGAUAGGGACUAAUUCACGGGAGUGGAAGGAUGCGUCGCUGCGCUCUUGAGUGGUGACCCCAUGCGAGUAAUUACGUAACUUUUUUGGAAGAGAGUUAGUAGAGAUAGGAAAAAAUAGCAAAUUGUGCAAUGGUUGGAAGAUGCUUCUGAUGAAGAAGAAGUUGGAGGGUCGAGUUCUGAGCCAGAGUUAGAUGAAAUAACAAAAAGUGAUCAUGAUAGCGCUAAUGAGAUCGAGUAAUCCUCCGCACAAUCAAGUGAAUCGAAAAUGCAAGAAAUGUACAAGAUUUGUGUGCAAUGAUCACUCUGAAAUAUACUGUCAACAAC